GAUAUAUAUAUUUUUAAUACUAGUGGUUUUAGUAUUUUAAGUCAAAGGCAUUGACAAUAAUGGUGUUUGGUUCCCACUUCUGUCUAUAGAACUGGGUAAAAUGAUAAGAUUAAAUCUGACCUUAGUGGGUACAUAUGUGUUUAUGCUCUCAUUACAAAAGAUGUUCAGUAGGAAAAUGUUCUUCAGCCUUGCAGGCACAGGCAUAACGAGAUCUGGAAUCUGAAUCUGGAUGAAGUCAAUCAUUGUGUAAGUCGUGGUAUUUUAAGUGAGGGCCAUUAACAGCUGUUACCUGUUACAAUCUGUGAAUAACGUAAAGCCUACAUUACAUUUAAUCUUUUAAAAUAUAUUUUCACUUUCAGGCACAAGUCAUUGCAACAGGUACUGUAGUGGUUGAAGGAAAUUGAAUUGCCUCUAGUGAAUUCUUAGAAGGCUAUGUGUUUGAUUUUGGUGAAUUUUGGUCUUUAGACCUAAGGAAAAGUAAAAGGGUGAUUUUUCAUAUACUCACUGAGCGUAUACAGAAUUGAAAGCACAGAUGGAGUGGGUGUGAUGGUUGGGAGCAUGCUACCUAGAACAAUGUAGCACUACAGUCUGAGACCUGUAGAAAUCUACGGAAUGGGGUCAAAACUUUAGAAAAACUGUAAAUCCUGAAAAAAGUAAGAUGAUUGUGUUGAGGCCUCAUGUUAAAUUGAAUGGCCAACUUAGAUUGUCCUGGUGAGUGUUGCUGCCAGCGUGCUAUACUCUUACCAGCCCAGUACUGGAAGGUACAGCCUGUCUGUUUGGUGUUUCGUAAUGACUUCAGAUUGGAUUCAUCACACCUAACUUCAGAAGUUAAAGAUUAACUGUCUACAACCUACCCAGUCGUGCAGAUAAUGAAGAGGAAUGAGCCACAGCAGGUUUCAAUUCCUGAUUCAAUCACAGACACAAGCUUCCGUGCUCUGGGUUGCCUUGGAGCACCUGGUUCUCUGGGAUUUCUGUGCUGCGGUGGGGUAGCACCUUAACAAGGCAACAAUGUUUUCUCAGGGAAUAUUGAGGAAGAAUAUCUCAAAAUGGAAAAAAGUGGUAUUCUCCAGAAUGAGCUUCUGCCUACCUUCCUUCUGAAGUUUGCAAGCGGUAACAACUUGAAACAGAAGAGGAAAGAAAUAAGAUGCAUAUAAAAUAGCAUCAAAUCUUAAAAGCCUAUCUAAUGCUCUGUGGCGUUGCUAUAAUUAUUACUGCUAAAGUUUCACUGCCACAUGCUGGGAAGUCAAAUUAAAUGCUGCCUCACACUAGCCAGUCCUUGCUCGGACUCUCAGGGAUGGCCUAGUUUAAAUUGGAAUAAGGGGGCAGCUCAGAUCCCUUCUGGGUCAGUUCUCCGGCCGCUGCCAGCUGGCCUGUGGCCAAGGGCAGCGCUCACUCUGACAGAUGAACACAGGUGCCACUGUGCGCUAUGGUUCUCCUGGGCGAAGUACAGAGCCCUGACCAGCCUGGCGGUGCUGUGGCCCCCAUGGUUCCCUCCAUACGAGGCUGUUCUUGGGCACUUGGGCCCAGGGUGGCCACGGCUCCAGGGCUUUGGGGUGUUGGGAAGCCAGAAGCCUCCAGCAGGCUGCCGCUGCCCCUCUGAGCAUGUUUAUUUUAAUGGCUGCCAGGCCCCGCCAGCGGAUAUGAGAUACAGCGCUCCUGCUUUCAGCUGCAUUCAUGUGUACACAUCCCGAUUUUAAAAGCUUCCUGCUUUUUUUUUUUUUCUUUUAAUAACCGCCUUGGCACAGAACUCUGCACUGUUCUCCUGGCCUCUCACUUUCCAGCAGGCACAGGGCUCCCCAGUACAGCAAUGGCCCCGCGCAGUUCCCCGGGUGGGGACAGAAAGAGAUUGAAGGAGAUCGCGGGCUGCGACUCGCACUUUUCGAGUCCUUACUUCCAGAACAUCCCAAACCCUGCCGUGAAGCGAGGCCAUUCUGCGCGGCCGUGCCCCCUGCA
Meleagris gallopavo (turkey) is the source of this 1953-nucleotide non-coding RNA. Lineage: Eukaryota; Metazoa; Chordata; Aves; Galliformes; Phasianidae. The record is from RefSeq and is a predicted model, not a curated record.